CCUACGGGAGGCAGCAGUGAGGAAUAUUGGUCAAUGGGCGAGAGCCUGAACCAGCCAAGUCGCGUGAGGGAGUACUGCCCUAUGGGUUGUAAACCUCUUUUGUCGGGGAGCAAAAGCCGGACGUGUCCGGCUGUGAGAGUACCCGAAGAAAAAGCAUCGGCUAACUCCGUGCCAGCAGCCGCGGUAAUACGGGGGAUGCGAGCGUUAUCCGGAUUUAUUGGGUUAAAGGGGUGCGCAGGCGGAUUUUUAAGUCAGCGGUAAAAUCGUGGGGCUCAACCCCAUCCAGCCGUGGAAACUGGGGAUCUAGAGUGUGCGAGAGGUAUGCGGAAUGCGUGGUGUAGCGGUGAAAUGCGUAGAUAUCACGCAGAACCCCGAUUGCGAAGGCAGCAUACCGGUGCACAACUGACGCUCAGGCACGAAAGCGUGGGUAUCGAACAGGAUUAGAUACCCUAGUAGUC
Molecule: ribosomal RNA, 458 nt
Filed under: uncultured bacterium
Lineage: Bacteria
Description: partial 16S ribosomal RNA
Rfam family: Bacterial small subunit ribosomal RNA
Source: RNAcentral